CUCCAGCAUUUUUUGUGGAUAUGUAUCCCCGUGACCUACUUGGGUUUUCUCAGAGAGCUCCGGUUUCCUCCCACACUCCAAAGACAUACAGAUUUGCAGGUUAGUUGACUU
Molecule: long non-coding RNA, 111 nt
Organism: Amblyraja radiata (thorny skate)
Lineage: Eukaryota; Metazoa; Chordata; Chondrichthyes; Rajiformes; Rajidae
Exons: 3
Source: RefSeq, a predicted model, not a curated record